This 329-nucleotide unclassified non-coding RNA is filed under the name soil metagenome. RNAcentral's name for it is "partial contains 5.8S ribosomal RNA, internal transcribed spacer 2, and large subunit ribosomal RNA". The stretch from base 1 to 120 matches the Rfam family "5.8S ribosomal RNA", at positions 35 to 154 of the family's 154-position model. The record is from RNAcentral.
GAUGAAGAACGCAGCGAAAUGCGACAAGUAAUGUGAAUUGCAGAAUUCAGUGAAUCAUCGAAUCUUUGAACGCACAUUGCGCCCCUUGGUAUUCCGAGGGGCAUGCCUGUUCGAGCGUCAUUAUAACCCCUCAAGCUCAGCUUGGUGUUGGGGCCUGCUGCACUGGCAGCCCUUAAAAUCAGUGGCGGCGCCAUCUGGCUCUAAGCGUAGUAAUUCUUCUCGCUAUGGAGUCCUGGUGGAUGCUUGCCAUCAACCCCCAAUUUUUCUAUGGUUGACCUCGGAUCAGGUAGGGAUACCCGCUGAACUUAAGCAUAUCAAUAAGCGGAGGA